This 63-nucleotide small RNA is filed under the name unclassified sequences. RNAcentral's name for it is "NAD+-I sequence". It matches the Rfam family "nadA riboswitch". The record is from Rfam by way of RNAcentral.
AGUUGCAACAUCCCCGUGGGUUGGGUGAAGGCCUGGAGCCGACACAGUGAAUCCACUGCAACU